This 468-nucleotide ribosomal RNA is filed under the name uncultured bacterium. RNAcentral describes it as "partial 16S ribosomal RNA". It matches the Rfam family "Bacterial small subunit ribosomal RNA", at positions 28 to 507 of the family's 1533-position model. The record is from RNAcentral.
GACGAACGCUGGCGGCGUGCUUAGCACAUGCAAGUCGAACGGAAAGGCCCUGCUUUUGUGGGGUGCUCGAGUGGCGAACGGGUGAGUAACACGUGAGUAACCUGCCCUUGACUUUGGGAUAACUUCAGGAAACUGGGGCUAAUACCGGAUAGGAGCUCCUGCUGCAUGGUGGGGGUUGGAAAGUUUCGGCGGUUGGGGAUGGACUCGCGGCUUAUCAGCUUGUUGGUGGGGUAGUGGCUUACCAAGGCUUUGACGGGUAGCCGGCCUGAGAGGGUGACCGGCCACAUUGGGACUGAGAUACGGCCCAGACUCCUACGGGAGGCAGCAGUGGGGAAUAUUGCACAAUGGGCGGAAGCCUGAUGCAGCAACGCCGCGUGCGGGAUGACGGCCUUCGGGUUGUAAACCGCUUUCGCCUGUGACGAAGCAUGAGUGACGGUAAUGGGUAAAGAAGCACCGGCUAACUACGUG